This 551-nucleotide ribosomal RNA is filed under the name uncultured bacterium. RNAcentral describes it as "partial 16S rRNA". It matches the Rfam family "Bacterial small subunit ribosomal RNA", at positions 355 to 898 of the family's 1533-position model. The record is from RNAcentral.
UGGGGAAUAUUGCACAAUGGGCGGAAGUUGAUGCGGGGACGCCCUCGGGGGAGGAAGGCCUUCGGGUUGUAAACUCCUUUCGACAGGGACGAAGCUUUUGUGACGGUACCUGUAUAAGAAGCACCGGCUAACUACGUGCCAGCGGCCGCGGUAAUACGUAGGUGGCAAGCGUUAUCCGGAAUUAUUGGGCGUAAAGCGGGCGUAGCCGUUUUUUAAGCCUGAGGUGAAAGCCCACGGNUAACCGUGGNGGGCCAUUGGAAACUGNAAANUUGGAGGGCAGAAAAAGAAAGGGGGAAUUUCCAUGUGUAGGGGUGAAAAUGCGCAGAAGAUAUGGGGGGAACCCCAGGGGCGAAGGCGACUUUUCUGGGCCUGUAACUGACGCCUGAAGGGGCGAAAGCGGGGGGGUUCAAAACAGGGAUUAGAUUACCCUGGUAGUCCNCGGCGNAAACCAAUGAGGGCCAAAGGGUUAAGGGGNUUCCNGCCCCUUUAGUGCUGCNGCUAAACGCCGUAAAGGCACUUCCGCCUGGGGGGGUACGACCCNCAAGGUUGGA